Molecule: long non-coding RNA, 221 nt
Filed under: dengue virus type 2
Lineage: Riboviria; Orthornavirae; Kitrinoviricota; Flasuviricetes; Amarillovirales; Flaviviridae
Description: Dengue virus type 2 partial sfRNA1
Rfam family: Flavivirus DB element (bases 156-221)
Source: RNAcentral
UAGAAGUCAGGUCGGAUUAAGCCAUAGUACGGAAAAAACUAUGCUACCUGUGAGCCCCGUCCAAGGACGUUAAAAGAAGUCAGGCCACUACAAGUGCCAUAGCUUGAGCAAACUAUGCAGCCUGUAGCUCCACCUGGGAAGGUGUAAAAAAUCUGGGAGGCCACAAACCAUGGAAGCUGUACGCAUGGCGUAGUGGACUAGCGGUUAGAGGAGACCCCUCC